GAUGAACGCUGGCGGCGUGCCUAAUACAUGCAAGUCGAGCGAACAGACGAGGAGCUUGCUCCUCUGACGUUAGCGGCGGACGGGUGAGUAACACGUGGAUAACCUACCUAUAAGACUGGGAUAACUUCGGGAAACCGGAGCUAAUACCGGAUAAUCUAUUGAACCGCAUGGUUCAAUAGUGAAAGACGGUUUUGCUGUCACUUAUCGAUGGAUCCGCGCCGCAUUAGCUAGUUGGUAAGGUAACGGCUUACCAAGGCAACGAUGCGUAGCCGACCUGAGAGGGUGAUCGGCCACACUGGAACUGAGACACGGUCCAGACUCCUACGGGAGGCAGCAGUAGGGAAUCGGCCGCAAUGGGCGAAAGCUUGACGGAGCAACGCCGCGUGAGUGAUGAAGGUCUUCGGAUCGUAAAACUCUGUUAUUAGGGAAGAACAAAUGUGGAAGUAACUAUGCACGGCUUGACGGUAACUAAUCAGAAAGCCACGGCUAACUACGUG
This 497-nucleotide ribosomal RNA is filed under the name uncultured bacterium. Its description in RNAcentral is "partial 16S ribosomal RNA". It matches the Rfam family "Bacterial small subunit ribosomal RNA", at positions 28 to 507 of the family's 1533-position model. The record is from RNAcentral.